Molecule: ribosomal RNA, 440 nt
Filed under: uncultured bacterium
Lineage: Bacteria
Description: partial 16S ribosomal RNA
Rfam family: Bacterial small subunit ribosomal RNA
Source: RNAcentral
CCUACGGGAGGCAGCAGUGGGGAAUAUUGCUCAAUGGGGGAAACCCUGAUGCAGCGACGCCGCGUGAGUGAAGAAGUAAUUCGUUAUUUAAAGCUCUAUCAGCAGGGGAGUAAAUGACGGUACCUGAGUAAGAAUCCCCGGCUAACUACGUGCCAGCAGCCGCGGUAAUACGGAGGGGGCAAGCGUUAUCCGGAUUUACUGGGUGUAAAGGGAGCGUAGACGGCAGUGCAAGUCUGUAGUGAAAGGCGGGGGCUCAACCCUCGGACUGCUCUUGAAACUGUACGGCUGGAGUGCAGUAGAGGUAAGUGGAAGUCGUAGUGUAGCGGUGAAAUGCGUAGAUAUUAGGAAGAACACCAGUGGCGAAGGCGGCUUACUGAACUGUAACUGACGUUGAGGCUCGAAAGCGUGGGGAGCAAACAGGAUUAGAUACCCUAGUAGUC